Camellia sinensis is the source of this 223-nucleotide non-coding RNA. NCBI's taxonomy places the organism in Eukaryota, Viridiplantae, Streptophyta, Magnoliopsida, Ericales, Theaceae. The record is from RefSeq and is a predicted model, not a curated record.
GCAGCUCUCCUGGACCCAAGACCCCCACAAGUAGACUUUCAUAGUCUUGGAUAAAGAAUUGGUUGUUGGAGACUUCAUCCAUGGAGAUGCCCAUGUUGAAGCCAUGGUUGGUGAUGUGAAUAUAUACAUGAAUGACUUGGAAGAUUCCCAAAUGGAAGAGAUUGAAAUAAUGAUAGCUGAGCCCAAAAGGUACAUGCCUUUCAUUUUCUUCUUAUGAUAGUGC